This 291-nucleotide long non-coding RNA is filed under the name Elaeis guineensis (African oil palm). Its description in RNAcentral is "long non-coding RNA (EGUI_LNC058933)". Lineage: Eukaryota; Viridiplantae; Streptophyta; Magnoliopsida; Arecales; Arecaceae. The record is from RNAcentral.
UAUGCACCUAUGGAUAGAUUUUUAAGUAAUUAUUUAUCUAAAUAACUUCUAGUAAUUGAUUUUAUCUUAGGUUACUUUUCAGUCGGCUUUGGCCAUCUCUGCAAGUCCUAAUUAGGUCCAACAAUUAACAUGACAAAACUUAGUAUAUCAGACAAACAAAUGAUCAGGCCCAAGUGUGGCUCGAUCAAUCUGACCACCAUCGAAAAGAUACAUCUGAAUCAUCAUAUUAUGAAUGAUAAUUCUGAUAGUCAGAUGAGCAUCAGGCGUAUGGUGCCUUCAAUAUGUUGGGGU